GGUGGAGUGUUGGAACUGGGUAUACAUCGAGGUUUUAGAAACCUCGGCUCGAAAGAGAUUGAGGGUUCGAAUCCCUCCUCCACUACCA
Molecule: transfer RNA, 88 nt
Filed under: bacterium
Lineage: Bacteria
Description: tRNA-Leu
Rfam family: tRNA
About the family: Transfer RNA (tRNA) molecules are approximately 80 nucleotides in length.
Source: RNAcentral